This 465-nucleotide ribosomal RNA is filed under the name uncultured bacterium. RNAcentral's name for it is "partial 16S ribosomal RNA". It matches the Rfam family "Bacterial small subunit ribosomal RNA", at positions 338 to 795 of the family's 1533-position model. The record is from RNAcentral.
CCUACGGGGGGCAGCAGUGGGGAAUAUUGCGCAAUGGGCGAAAGCCUGACGCAGCGACGCCGCGUGAGGGAUGAAGGUCUUCGGAUCGUAAACCUCUGUCAGCAGGGAAGAACGGUCACUGUGCUAAUAAGCAGUGAAUUGACGGUACCUGCACAGGAAGCACCGGCUAAAUCCGUGCCAGCAGCCGCGGUACUACGGAGGGUGCGAGCGGUAAUCGGAAUUACUGGGCGUAAAGCGCACGUAGGCGGUAUGUCAAGUCAAGGGUGAAAUCCCCGCGCUCAACGUGGGAAUGGCCUUUGAUACGGGCAAACUGGAGUGUGGUAGAGGAUAGUGGAAUGCCAGGUGUAGGGGUGAAAUGCGUAGAGAUCUGGAGGAACACCGGUGGCGAAGGCGACCAACUGGCACAUAACUGACGCUGAGGAGCGAAAGCGUGGGUAGCAAACAGGAUUAGAUACCCCAGUAGUC